CAGCAGCCGCGGGAAUACGGAGGGUGCAAGCGUUAAUCGGAAUUACUGGGCGUAAAGCGCACGCAGGCGGUUUGUUAAGUCAGAUGUGAAAUCCCCGAGCUUAACUUGGGAACUGCAUUUGAAACUGGCAAGCUAGAGUCUUGUAGGGGGGGGUAGAAUUCCAGGUGUAGCGGUGAAAUGCGUAGAGAUCUGGAGGAAUACCGGUGGCGAAGGCGGCCCCCUGGACAAAGACUGACGCUCAGGUGCGAAAGCGUGGGGAGCAAACAGGAUUAGAUACCCCUGUAGUCCCUGUCUCUUAUAC
Molecule: ribosomal RNA, 301 nt
Filed under: uncultured bacterium
Lineage: Bacteria
Description: partial 16S ribosomal RNA
Rfam family: Bacterial small subunit ribosomal RNA
Source: RNAcentral